UCCUCCCAAUUUGAUUUUAUGCUUGCAUAAAUGAUUUUUGGAUUCGGGACGAGUGGCGAACUGGUGAGUAACACGUGGGUAACCUGCCCUAAAGCAGGGGAUAACAUUUGGAAACAGAUGCUAAUACCGUAUAAUUAGUUGGAACCACAUGGUUCCAACUUGAAAGAUGGCUCUGCUAUCACUUUAGGAUGGACCCGCGGCGUAUUAGCUAGUUGGUGAGAUAAAAGCUCACCAAGGCGAUGAUACGUAGCCGACCUGAGAGGGUAAUCGGCCACAUUGGGACUGAGACACGGCCCAGACUCCUACGGGAGGCAGCAGUAGGGAAUCUUCCACAAUGGACGAAAGUCUGAUGGAGCAACGCCGCGUGAGUGAAGAAGGGUUUCGGCUCGUAAAACUCUGUUGUUAAAGAAGAACAAGUGUAAGAGUAACUGUUUACGCUUUGACGGUAUUUAACCAGAAAGCCACGGCUAACUACGUGCCAGCAGCCGCGGUAAUACGUAGGUGGCAAGCGUUGUCCGGGAUUUAUUUGGGCGUAAAGCGAGCGCAGGUGGUCUUUUUAGUCUGUUGUGAAAGCCUUCAGCUCAACUGAGGAAGUGCAGCGGAAACUAGGAGACUUGAGUACAGAAGAGGAUAGUGGAACUCCAUGUGUAGCGGUGAAAUGCGUAGAUAUAUGGAAGAACACCAGUGGCGAAGGCGGCUAUCUGGUCUGUUACUGACACUGAGGCUCGAAAGCAUGGGUAGCGAACAGGAUUAGAUACCCUGGUAGUCCAUGCCGUAAACGAUGAAUACUAGGUGUUGGAGGGUUUCCGCCCUUCAGUGCCGCAGCUAACGCAUUAAGUAUUCCGCCUGGGGAGUACGACCGCAAGGUUGAAACUCAAAGGAAUUGACGGGGGCCCGCACAAGUGGUGGAGCAUGUGGUUUAAUUCGAUGCUACGCGAAGAACCUUACCAGGUCUUGACAUCUUCUGCCAACCUAAGAGAUUAGGCGUUCCCUUCGGGGACAGAAUGACAGGUGGUGCAUGGUUGUCGUCAGCUCGUGUCGUGAGAUGUUGGGUUAAGUCCCGCAACGAGCGCAACCCUUAUUAUUAGUUGCCAGCAUUAAGUUGGGCACUCUAGUGAGACUGCCGGUGAUAAACCGGAGGAAGGUGGGGAUGACGUCAAAUCAUCAUGCCCCUUAUGACCUGGGCUACACACGUGCUACAAUGGAUGGUACAACGAGUCGCGAAACCGCGAGGUCAAGCUAAUCUCUUAAAGCCAUUCUCAGUUCGGAUUGCAGGCUGCAACUCGCCUGCAUGAAGUUGGAAUCACUAGUAAUCGUGGAUCAGCAUGCCACGGUGAAUACGUUCCCGGGCCUUGUACACACCGCCCGUCACACCAUGAGAGUUUGUAACACCCAAAGACGAUGGAGUAACCUUCGGGAG
RNAcentral lists this ribosomal RNA (1420 nucleotides) under Apilactobacillus timberlakei. Its description in RNAcentral is "bacterial SSU rRNA". It matches the Rfam family "Bacterial small subunit ribosomal RNA". Lineage: Bacteria; Bacillati; Bacillota; Bacilli; Lactobacillales; Lactobacillaceae. The record is from RNAcentral.